CCCUACGGGGGGCAGCAGUGAGGAAUAUUGGUCAAUGGGCGGAAGCCUGAACCAGCCAAGUCGCGUGAGGGAUUAAGGCCCUAUGGGUCGUAAACCUCUUUUGUCAGGGAGCAAGGCCUCUCACGUGUGGGAGGUUGGAGAGUACCUGAAGAAAAAGCAUCGGCUAACUCCGUGCCAGCAGCCGCGGUAAUACGGAGGAUGCGAGCGUUAUCCGGAUUUAUUGGGUUUAAAGGGUGCGCAGGCGGAAGAUCAAGUCAGCGGUAAAAUUGAGAGGCUCAACCUCUUCGAGCCGUUGAAACUGGUUU
Molecule: ribosomal RNA, 305 nt
Filed under: uncultured bacterium
Lineage: Bacteria
Description: bacterial SSU rRNA
Rfam family: Bacterial small subunit ribosomal RNA
Source: RNAcentral